UGCGAGUUCACGAUGAACGGUAUGAUUGCAUAGCACAAUUCAUGGUAAUAUCCUUUCCUGAGCAUCAGUCUUGUUACAUUUGUUUCAUCCAUGGAGGUUGAUUUUGCAGAACAUACACACAGGAAGCCUUUCUCAUCCUUUCUCAUCUUUCUCGACCGAAUCAGGGAAACGCCCACAUUGCAGCCACCAAAAUACAACUAAUCAUCACUCUACCCGCAAUGGAUAUUUUUUUCUGAAGAUAUCUGUUGUGCUGGUCUUACAAAUUCGUUGUAGCUGCAGGUAAGGGAAAUGGCACGACCAGCGGCAUUGCAAAUAAAUUGCAACUCUGCACUAAGAUCAUUGGCUCAUGACUCACUUUCUGUUCUGAAAGUAUACUUGUCUACUUCCUUUUUGUGUUUAUUUCUCUUUAUUUUUGCACUUUGGUAACCUGGAGCAGUCAUUAGUUCUAUUAUUAUUUUCAGUUGAGAACCCCAAAUAUGCUCUACAUAAUGACAAAUAAAAUCACCUAUAACACAAUUGACACAUCUUCUGUCCCCAAUCCAACAUAUAUUUAUUCUCUCUGUUUUAUCUAAUUAUGCUGGGAAAGGGGGGGAUCUGAACUAAAUUCUCUCAGUAGAUUGGCUACCAUGUUUCGUAUAUGAGAAUCUAAACAGUUUACAUAUCUGAUCCAAUAUGUUUAGGAAAAACUGGCCUUGAUUCUGAAAUGGAUAAUCUAAUAUUAAGGCAAGUUUUUAGCAAACUGAGUAUGCUACAUAAGAUCUGCUAUGUGCCAUCAUGCAAAUACAUUGCCUCAAAGGUCGCGGUGUUAAUCUUUUUACAAAAGGCAACUUGCUAGGAUUGGUUCUCAGUCGAGGAAGCGAUGCACACGAGGGCAUGCUUGCAGGAGCAGAGGAUCCUCACUCCUUCUUAGUGGUCGCUUGAAGGAGAUGUCCAUCCUUGAUCACUGGCUGCCUUAUGGUUCAAGUAUUGCACUAAGUUAUUUCUAGACAUAGGCCAAAUGAUGAAAUAAAGAGUUAGUGGGUCCAAGAAUCAGUGGAUAGCAGCAGGUCUCAGUAGACCUUUUUCUACAACAAUAACUUCCAUAGCAAUUCAUACAACAUUCACGACAUUAAUUCUAUCAAGGUGGAUUGAGGAACCAAGGGGCAUAAUACAAUAGUGAAAAAAGGAUAAAAGUUCGAACACUAAUGAGCCAAAUCUGACCAGCUCCAGGUUCUUUUCAAUUCCGUAGACAUCAACAAGACAUUCAAGCCAAGACCUAUAAACUGGUAAUUAUACCAUUUUUCUUCUAUUUGAAGAAGCUAUGAUCACAAGAGAAGUUCUAUUGAGAAAGAUCAAUUCAGCUUCCACUAGCGUGGUAUACUGGAUCAUGAUCAUAUACCGGCAGUGCUUGGUUACCCACAUAGCUGUAACAUGGGAAACUAUAUUAUGUUUCCACAGUUCAGUUUUUUCGUCAUCAAUAUUUAUGUAUUAGUGCUGCUAUAUCAAUAUAUCUCACUGAACAAUGCUCAAAUUCCCAUGUUGAUCCAUUCCAAAUGGACUAUGCAGCUUUAGUAAUUAAGUUCAGAUAGUUGACCAGGAG
Molecule: long non-coding RNA, 1579 nt
Organism: Triticum aestivum (bread wheat)
Lineage: Eukaryota; Viridiplantae; Streptophyta; Magnoliopsida; Poales; Poaceae
Exons: 5
Source: RefSeq, a predicted model, not a curated record